AUGCCAGCGGUCAACUCCAACAUACCCGCGCAUGCGCCGCUCGAUGAGAUCGACUGGGCAACGCACACGGAGUUGCUGCGCGCCCAGGCGCGCUUCAAGAAACAAGCAGAUCGCCACCGCACCGAGCGCGCCUUCGACGUGGGCAAGCAAGUCCUCCUCAAGCUUCAACCGUACGCCCAGUCCUCCGUCGCCAACCGCCCUUGUCGCAAGCUGGCGUACAAGUUCUUCGGACCCUUCACAGUGACGGAGCGCAUCGGCACUUUGGCGUAUCGCCUGAACUUGCCGCCGGACAGACGCAUCCACCCAGUCUUCCACGUCUCGCAACUCAAGUCGUUUGUCCCCGACUACACUCUGGUCUUCGCUGAGCUGCCCAAGAUACCAGACCUCACGGCCGCGGACCGCGUGCCGAUCACCAUUUUGGACCGCCGCAUGAUGAAGAAAGGAGACGCCCCAGUCGUCCAAGUUUAGGUGCAGUGGAGCACCAUGCCGCCGUCGUCUGCGACCUGGGAAGACUACUACGUGCUACGGCAGCGUUACCCGGACGCGCCCCUUUGGACAGAGGAAGAUCAAGCUGCUCAAGAGGGGGCAAAUGUCACGCCUGCAGAUCAGCCUGCAGCGGACUAA
This 624-nucleotide ribosomal RNA is filed under the name Triticum aestivum (bread wheat). RNAcentral's name for it is "partial small subunit ribosomal RNA". The record is from RNAcentral. Lineage: Eukaryota; Viridiplantae; Streptophyta; Magnoliopsida; Poales; Poaceae.